UCACUGCUUGCGCAGGCAGUCUCUUUAGAGUCCCCACCAUCACGUGCUGGCAACUAAGGACAGGGGUUGCGCUCGUUGCGGCACUUAAGCCAACACCUCACGGCACGAGCUGACGACAGCCAUGCAGCACCUGUGCUAGCCCCUUACGGACACCGGCUUUCACCGGCUUUAACUAGCAUGUCAAGCCCAGGUAAGGUUCUUCGCGUUGCAUCGAAUUAAGCCACAUGCUCCGCCGCUUGUGCGGGUCCCCGUCAAUUCCUUUGAGUUUUAGCCUUGCGGCCGUACUCCCCAGGCGGAUGACUUAAUGCGUUAGCUGCGCCACCAAAGGCCUAAGGCCCCUGACAGCUAGUCAUCAUCGUUUACGGCGUGGACUAC
Molecule: unclassified non-coding RNA, 375 nt
Filed under: uncultured Actinomycetes bacterium
Lineage: Bacteria; Bacillati; Actinomycetota; Actinomycetes
Description: uncultured actinobacterium contains 16S-23S intergenic spacer region
Source: RNAcentral